Molecule: ribosomal RNA, 250 nt
Filed under: uncultured soil bacterium
Lineage: Bacteria
Description: partial 16S ribosomal RNA
Rfam family: Bacterial small subunit ribosomal RNA
Source: RNAcentral
AGGAUGAACGCUGGCGGCGUGCUUAACACAUGCAAGUCACGGGGGCCAGCAAUGGCAACCGGCGAACGGGUGCGUAACACGUGAGCAACCUACCGAAAUCUGGGGGAUAGCCGGCCCAACGGCCGGGUAAUACCGCAUACGCUCUAGACCAGGCAUUUGGACUAGAGGAAACCUCCGGGGGAUUUUGAGGGGCUCGCGGCCUAUCAGCUAGUUGGUGAGGUAACGGCUCACCAAGGCGACGACGGGUAGC